RNAcentral lists this ribosomal RNA (492 nucleotides) under uncultured bacterium. RNAcentral describes it as "partial 16S ribosomal RNA". It matches the Rfam family "Bacterial small subunit ribosomal RNA", at positions 29 to 507 of the family's 1533-position model. The record is from RNAcentral.
AGUGAACGCUGGCGGUAGGCCUAACACAUGCAAGUCGAACGGCAGCACAGUAAGAGCUUGCUCUUACGGGUGGCGAGUGGCGGACGGGUGAGGAAUACAUCGGAAUCUACUUUUUCGUGGGGGAUAACGUAGGGAAACUUACGCUAAUACCGCAUACGACCUACGGGUGAAAGCAGGGGAUCUUCGGACCUUGCGCGAUUGAAUGAGCCGAUGUCGGAUUAGCUAGUUGGCGGGGCAAAGGCCCACCAAGGCGACGAUCCGUAGCUGGUCUGAGAGGAUGAUCGGCCACACUGGAACUGAGACACGGUCCAGACUCCUACGGGAGGCAGCAGUGGGGAAUAUUGGACAAUGGGCGCAAGCCUGAUCCAGCCAUACCGCGUGGGUGAAGAAGGCCUUCGGGUUGUAAAGCCCUUUUGUUGGGAAAGAAAAGCAGCAGGUUAAUACCCCGCUGUUCUGACGGUACCCAAAGAAUAAGCACCGGCUAACUUCGUG